RNAcentral lists this ribosomal RNA (301 nucleotides) under uncultured bacterium. RNAcentral describes it as "partial 16S ribosomal RNA". It matches the Rfam family "Bacterial small subunit ribosomal RNA", at positions 509 to 807 of the family's 1533-position model. The record is from RNAcentral.
CAGUAGCCACGGUAAUACAGAGGGUGCGAGCGUUAAUCGGAUUUACUGGGCGUAAAGCGUGCGUAGGCGGCUAAUUGAGUCGGAUGUGAAAUCCCCGAGCUUAACUUGGGAAUUGCAUUUGAUACUGGUUAGCUAGAGUGUGGGAGAGGAUGGUAGAAUUCCAGGUGUAGCGGUGAAAUGCGUAGAGAUCUGGAGGAAUACCGAUGGCGAAGGCAGCCAUCUGGCCUAACACUGACGCUGAGGUACGAAAGCAUGGGGAGCAAACAGGAUUAGAGACCCCCGUAGUCCCUGUCUCUUAUAC